Molecule: ribosomal RNA, 440 nt
Filed under: uncultured bacterium
Lineage: Bacteria
Description: partial 16S ribosomal RNA
Rfam family: Bacterial small subunit ribosomal RNA
Source: RNAcentral
CCUACGGGUGGCAGCAGUGGGGGAUAUUGCACAAUGGGGGAAACCCUGAUGCAGCGACGCCGCGUGGGUGAAGAAGCGCCUCGGCGCGUAAAGCCCUGUCAGCAGGGAAGAAAAUGACGGUACCUGAAGAAGAAGCCCCGGCUAACUACGUGCCAGCAGCCGCGGUAAUACGUAGGGGGCAAGCGUUAUCCGGAUUUACUGGGUGUAAAGGGGGCGCAGACGGCGAGGCAAGCCAGGAGUGAAAGCCCGGGGCCCAACCCCGGGACUGCGUUUGGAACUGCGUGGCUAGAGUGCAGGAGGGGCAGGUGGAAUUCCUGGUGUAGCGGUGAAAUGCGUAGAUAUCAGGAGGAACACCGGUGGCGAAGGCGGCCUGCUGGACUGCAACUGACGUUGAGGCCCGAAAGCGUGGGGAGCAAACAGGAUUAGAUACCCGAGUAGUC